This 605-nucleotide unclassified non-coding RNA is filed under the name uncultured Bordetella sp. RNAcentral's name for it is "partial 16S-23S ribosomal RNA intergenic spacer". It matches the Rfam family "Bacterial small subunit ribosomal RNA", at positions 1 to 607 of the family's 1533-position model. Lineage: Bacteria; Pseudomonadati; Pseudomonadota; Betaproteobacteria; Burkholderiales; Alcaligenaceae. The record is from RNAcentral.
UUCGAUCCCGUAAGCUCCAGAUUGAACGCUGGCGGGAUACUUUACACAUGCAAGUCGAACGGCAGCACGGACUUCGGUCUGGUGGCGAGUGGCGAACGGAGUGAGUAAUGUAUCGGAACGUGCCUAGUAGCGGGGGAUAACUACACCAUGAAAGCGUAGCUAAUACCACAUACGCCCUUCGGGGAAAAGCGGGGGACCUUCGGGCCUCGCACUAUUAGAGCAGCCGAUAUCCGGAUUAGCUAGUUGGUGGGGUAACGGCUCGCAAGGCGACGUUCCGUAGCUGGUUUGAAGAGGACGACCAGCCACACUGGGACUGAGACACGGCCCAGACUCCUACGGGAGGCAACAGUGGGGAAUUUUGGACAAUGGGGAAACCUGAUCCAGCCAUCCCGCGUGUACGUGAAGGCCUUCGGGUUGUAAAGCACUUUUGGCAGGAAAGAAACGGCACGGGAUAAUACCCCGUGCAACUGACGGUACCUGCAGAAUAAGCACCGGCUAACUACGUGCCAGCAGCCGCGGUAAUACGUAGGGUGCAAGCGUUAAUCGGAAUUACUGGGCGUAAAGCGUGCGCAGGCGGUUCGGAAAGAAGAUGUGAAAUAGCAAUG